This 71-nucleotide transfer RNA is filed under the name Arthonia kermesina. RNAcentral describes it as "tRNA-Arg". It matches the Rfam family "tRNA". From Rfam's summary of the family: Transfer RNA (tRNA) molecules are approximately 80 nucleotides in length. Lineage: Eukaryota; Fungi; Ascomycota; Arthoniomycetes; Arthoniales; Arthoniaceae. The record is from RNAcentral.
UGCGUGUUAGUUAAAUGGAAUAAUGUAACGCUACGGUCGUAAGGUUGCGAGUUCGAAUCUCGCACACGUAU